Molecule: transfer RNA, 77 nt
Filed under: Aerococcus viridans
Lineage: Bacteria; Bacillati; Bacillota; Bacilli; Lactobacillales; Aerococcaceae
Also listed under: 9 other names
Description: tRNA-Pro
Rfam family: tRNA
About the family: Transfer RNA (tRNA) molecules are approximately 80 nucleotides in length.
Source: RNAcentral
CGGGAAAUAGCUCAGCUUGGUAGAGCACUUGGUUUGGGACCAAGGGGUCGCAGGUUCGAAUCCUGUUUUCCCGACUA